Molecule: unclassified non-coding RNA, 351 nt
Filed under: soil metagenome
Description: partial contains 5.8S ribosomal RNA, internal transcribed spacer 2, and large subunit ribosomal RNA
Rfam family: 5.8S ribosomal RNA (bases 1-119)
Source: RNAcentral
GAUGAAGAACGUAGCGAAAUGCGAUAAGUAAUGCGAAUUGCAGAAUCCGUGAGUCAUCGAAUCUUUGAACGCACAUUGCGCCCGCCAGUAUUCUGGCGGGCAUGCCUGUUCGAGCGUCAUUUCAACCCUCAGGCCCCCAGUGCCUGGUGUUGGGGAUCGGCCCAGCCUUCCUGUAAGGCCGCCGGCCCCGAAAUCUAGUGGCGGUCUCGCUGUAGUCCUCCUCUGCGUAGUAGCACAACCUCGCAGUUGGAACGCGGCGGUGGCCAUGCCGUUAAACACCCCACUUCUGAAAGUUGACCUCGGAUCAGGUAGGAAUACCCGCUGAACUUAAGCAUAUCAAUAAGCGGAGGA